This 674-nucleotide ribosomal RNA is filed under the name Klebsiella pneumoniae. Its description in RNAcentral is "bacterial SSU rRNA". It matches the Rfam family "Bacterial small subunit ribosomal RNA", at positions 46 to 730 of the family's 1533-position model. Lineage: Bacteria; Pseudomonadati; Pseudomonadota; Gammaproteobacteria; Enterobacterales; Enterobacteriaceae. The record is from RNAcentral.
GCCUAACACAUGCAAGUCGAGCGGUAGCACAGAGAGCUUGCUCUCGGGUGACGAGCGGCGGACGGGUGAGUAAUGUCUGGGAAACUGCCUGAUGGAGGGGGAUAACUACUGGAAACGGUAGCUAAUACCGCAUAACGUCGCAAGACCAAAGUGGGGGACCUUCGGGCCUCAUGCCAUCAGAUGUGCCCAGAUGGGAUUAGCUAGUAGGUGGGGUAACGGCUCACCUAGGCGACGAUCCCUAGCUGGUCUGAGAGGAUGACCAGCCACACUGGAACUGAGACACGGUCCAGACUCCUACGGGAGGCAGCAGUGGGGAAUAUUGCACAAUGGGCGCAAGCCUGAUGCAGCCAUGCCGCGUGUAUGAAGAAGGCCUUCGGGUUGUAAAGUACUUUCAGCGGGGAGGAAGGCGAUAAGGUUAAUAACCUUUGUCGAUUGACGUUACCCGCAGAAGAAGCACCGGCUAACUCCGUGCCAGCAGCCGCGGUAAUACGGAGGGUGCAAGCGUUUAUCGGAAUUACUGGGCGUAAAGCGCACGCAGCGGUCUGUCAAGUCGGAUGUGAAUCCCGGGCUCACCUGGGACUGCAUUCGAAACUGGCAGCUAGAGUCUUGUAGAGGGGUAGAAUUCAGUGUACGUGAAUGCGUAAGAUCUGGAGAUACCGUGCGAGGCGCCCCCU